AAAAGCCCAGCCGCCGGAUCAGGCAUCUACCGAUCUACGGAAAGCAGCGUAGGCGCGGGCUGUCCGUCGCCAUCUUCUCGACACUUCACGAUCCAUCGUCGUCGCUAGGCUACGCUGCCACACCCGCCGAAACCUCGCCGCUUCCCCUUGCGCCGCCCGCCUCGAUAUGCUCUAGCCGGCGGCUGCCGGACUAAGCCCGUGACGGCGCCAUUCGCUUGCCCUGCCGCCCACACCUUGCUCGGUCUGCAGCGCCGCCCGUGUCUCCCUGGUGCUAGGCGAACGAGGGGGGCUCGCCGCACCGGCGCGGGAUGGCAAGGGGCAGCAGCAACGAGCUACAGCAGGGAGCGGACCACGGUACGCUGAGUGCAGGAGAUUAAUGAUGAAGCCUACGAUGACACUCAAGAUAAGAAAAGAGGAGGUUCACAAGGACGAGCUAAGCAUUGAGGUCAGUACCAAUAAAAACAAAACACAAGAUGGAGAAAUGGAAAGUCAACUCUAUGGUUACUCUUUUGGUGCACUAGAGAAAAGUUAACUCCAUGGCUGAUUUUUUGUAUACAUGUGGAAAGUUAACACCAUUGUUACGCUUUUGGUGCACAUAUGAACCAGGGAUUACUUAACUCCAUGGCUGAUCAUUCCAUGUGGGAAGUUACCCACAUAGUUACUCUUUUUGUAUACAUAUGCGAACCAGUAGAAACUUUAACUCCAUGGCUGAUCUUUUGGUAUACAUAUGACCCAGUUUGAUCAAGAGCUUCUCUACACAUUUAAGAUUAGGAGCUCUUGAUAAAUCUAAAAACAAAUGUAAUCUUAUGUUAUUAUAUUGUUAUUAUAUUGGACAAGAGAGUUUAUUAAAUUCCUAAAG
Long non-coding RNA from Setaria italica (foxtail millet), 859 nucleotides. RefSeq lists it as uncharacterized. The record is from RefSeq and is a predicted model, not a curated record. NCBI's taxonomy places the organism in Eukaryota, Viridiplantae, Streptophyta, Magnoliopsida, Poales, Poaceae. The transcript has 3 exons.